GGAGAAUGUUCAGGACUGUGGAGGCGCGCUCCGCACCUGGCCUGAAAGCGGGAGAUUUGGCAACCAGUGCGCGUGGGUGCGCCGGCCCUUGCCGCUGGGGACUCUGGAGGCAGACCUUGCCCAAAGCCAGAGGCGGGAACUCCCCAGAUCCUCCCAGGAGACCAACAAUUGUCAGCACAGCAAAACUGGGCAUUUCUUUUCUUACUGAGCUUUGCAGCUACCUACACAGUUGUGUGUGGCAUCUCCUCCUGGGCGCAAGGACAUGAGAUGA
This 271-nucleotide long non-coding RNA is filed under the name Pan troglodytes (chimpanzee). Its description in RNAcentral is "long non-coding RNA NONPTRT008466". The record is from RNAcentral. Lineage: Eukaryota; Metazoa; Chordata; Mammalia; Primates; Hominidae.